This 327-nucleotide RNase P RNA is filed under the name uncultured Butyrivibrio sp. RNAcentral describes it as "Bacterial RNase P class A". It matches the Rfam family "Bacterial RNase P class A". Rfam says of the family: Ribonuclease P (RNase P) is a ubiquitous endoribonuclease, found in archaea, bacteria and eukarya as well as chloroplasts and mitochondria. The record is from RNAcentral. Lineage: Bacteria; Bacillati; Bacillota; Clostridia; Lachnospirales; Lachnospiraceae.
GAACCGAAUGGUCGCGGCCGUAUUUUUACGGGUGAGGAAAGUCCGGGCUUCAUAGGGCAGGAUGCCGGAUAACGUCCGGUGGAGGCGACUCCAAGGCUAGUGCAACAGAAAUGAACCGCCGAGUAAUCGGUAAGGGUGGAAGGGCAGUGUAAGAGACUACCGCCGAAACGGUAACGCUUCGGGCACAUGUAAACCCCAUUCGAAGCAAGACCAGACAGAAGCGAUGACGUGGCCCGCCAGCUUCAGGUAGGUCGCUUGAGCUUGCCGGUAACGGCAAGACUAGACAGAUGACCAUUUAAGACAUAACCCGGCUUACAGAUUCACUGG